CGGUGAUUGGCGCAGCUCGGUAGCGCACUUCGUUCGGGACGGGGUCGGAGGUUCGAAUCCUCUAUCACCGACCA
RNAcentral lists this transfer RNA (74 nucleotides) under Escherichia coli. RNAcentral's name for it is "tRNA-Pro". It matches the Rfam family "tRNA". From Rfam's summary of the family: Transfer RNA (tRNA) molecules are approximately 80 nucleotides in length. Their secondary structure includes four short double-helical elements and three loops (D, anti-codon, and T loops). The record is from RNAcentral. Lineage: Bacteria; Pseudomonadati; Pseudomonadota; Gammaproteobacteria; Enterobacterales; Enterobacteriaceae.